GAUGAAGAACGUAGCGAAAUGCGAUAAGUAAUGUGAAUUGCAGAAUUCAGUGAAUCAUCGAAUCCUUGAACGCACAUUGCGCCCGCCAGUAUUCUGGCGGGCAUGCCUGUUCGAGCGUCAUUACAACCCUCAGGCCCCCGGGCCUGGCGUUGGGGAUCGGCGGAGCCCCCCGUGGGCACACGCCGUCCCCCAAAUACAGUGGCGGUCCCGCCGCAGCUUCCAUCGCGUAGUAGCUAACACCUCGCGACUGGAGAGCGGCGCGGCCACGCCGUAAAACACCCAACUCUUCUGAAGUUGACCUCGAAUCAGGUAGGAAUACCCGCUGAACUUAAGCAUAUCAAUAAGCGGAGGA
RNAcentral lists this unclassified non-coding RNA (352 nucleotides) under soil metagenome. Its description in RNAcentral is "partial contains 5.8S ribosomal RNA, internal transcribed spacer 2, and large subunit ribosomal RNA". The stretch from base 1 to 120 matches the Rfam family "5.8S ribosomal RNA", at positions 35 to 154 of the family's 154-position model. The record is from RNAcentral.